UACCGUGGAUGCCACGUCGGUCGAAGGGAUCCCUUCUCGUCUUGCCAAGCAUGAAGCGAUCGAAGAGCCGAGGAUCAUUGGCGAGCAUUCUUUACCAUCCAUAUAAGAUGGAGUUUAAUCGGUCCGAAUCAGACCAACAGAUCUCGCUUUUUGGGGCCUUCUCCAUUAAGGUCAACACAGUUCCCGAUUAGUAAUUACUGCUUUCCAUUGGGUUUGAUCGGCGAUUUCCUUUCCUCAUUUAAACUUUAGGUCAAAGGAAUAUCUGGUUUCUGACCAUUGCAGUUCAUUCAGAUGGUUUGAAUAAUUUUGCUGGAAAUGGAAAAAUCUUGCUGGUUUGUUGAAGCUUUCAACCGAGGAUCCUUAUAUGUUCUAUGAAUAUGAUCACUUGUGUGAGGUUUAUUGAUCUGUGCCAGUUUUAAUUCACAAACCUUAAUUUCACAGUUUAUUGCGUCAGUUACACUGUAAUCUUAUGCUCCGGUGAUGAAAUUUCUAGGAGAUUAAAUUCAAUUUCAUUACUCUCAGGUUUCAGUUCACGUUGUACAUUUCUGGUAAAAUGGAGGACAAAUGUGACUCCGUAGGCAAUGUAAAUAGAGCGGAAGUAAACGAGGAGUUUUACGUGAAGAUCAAAGCAGAAGAGACUGAUGCAAGAGCAUAAAAAGGAGGAGAAGAAAGAGUUGGAUAUUGAAAUAAUCACAAAAUUCGUGGAAAAGUAGAAGAUUAAGCAUGGGGAUAAGGAUAGUUUUUCACUGGCAUCCGGCGGCCAAUUCAGAAGUUCAAUAUCUUUUAUUGUGUCUUUUAUUUGAAAAAAAAAUUCUUACAAAUAUAUCAUAGGGAUUGAACUAUGGAUAUCUAGAUGACAAUAAGAAAGUGGAUAAGCAUGAGAUGAAUGGGGAUUCAUAGGGAAGUGAAGGUAGAAUAUGAGAAGUAGAAAAAUGAAAUAGAAGGAGAAGAAGUUGAAGAAAGCUGAGGAGGUAAAAACAGAAAGUGAGCACGGAAAGGAUAAACACAGAUCUGAAAGAUUGGAGGAUGGGGAUGAUGAAUCAAAGGAAAAGAAGGAAAAGGACAAGAAAGAUGAGAAUAACAAGGAUGAUAGAUGGUAAGCGUAGGAGGAGGAGGAGGGUGGUCGAGAGGAUGAUUUCAAAGAAAAGAAAAAGAGAGACGAAUUGAAGGAAAAGAAGAAAAGACAAAGGUGAAGCACCAAACGAAAAGUAAGGAUGAAGAGGGUGAAUCAAAAGACAAGGAUGAAGAGAAAAAACGACUAUGAAGAUGAUGGCUUGAAGAAAAGAAGAAAAGCAAGGAUGAAGAUGUUGAACGGAGAGACAAACCAAGGACAAGGAUAAUGAAUGAAAG
Long non-coding RNA from Zingiber officinale, 1350 nucleotides. RefSeq lists it as uncharacterized. Lineage: Eukaryota; Viridiplantae; Streptophyta; Magnoliopsida; Zingiberales; Zingiberaceae. The record is from RefSeq and is a predicted model, not a curated record. The transcript has 2 exons.